GACGAACGCUGGCGGCGUGCUUAACACAUGCAAGUCGAACGGAAAGGCCCUGCUUUUGUGGGGUGCUCGAGUGGCGAACGGGUGAGUAACACGUGAGUAACCUGCCCUUGACUUUGGGAUAACUUCAGGAAACUGGGGCUAAUACCGGAUAGGAGCUCCUGCUGCAUGGUGGGGGUUGGAAAGUUUCGGCGGUUGGGGAUGGACUCGCGGCUUAUCAGCUUGUUGGUGGGGGAGUGGAUUACCAAGGCUUUGACGGGUAGCCGGCCUGAGAGGGUGACCGGCCACAUUGGGACUGAGGGACGGCCCAGUCUGCUACAGGAGGCAGCAGGGGGGAAUAUUGCACAAUGGGCGGAAGCCGGAGGCAGCAACGCCGCGUGCGUGAUGACGGCCUUCGGGUUGUAAACCGCUUUCGCCUGUGACGAGGCGUGAGUGACGGUAAUGGGUAAAGAAGCACCGGCUAACUACGUG
This 468-nucleotide ribosomal RNA is filed under the name uncultured bacterium. RNAcentral's name for it is "partial 16S ribosomal RNA". It matches the Rfam family "Bacterial small subunit ribosomal RNA", at positions 28 to 507 of the family's 1533-position model. The record is from RNAcentral.